GGGUGGGGCUCCGAGAGGAUCC
This 22-nucleotide non-coding RNA is filed under the name Arabidopsis thaliana (thale cress). The record is from RNAcentral. Lineage: Eukaryota; Viridiplantae; Streptophyta; Magnoliopsida; Brassicales; Brassicaceae.